This 232-nucleotide ribosomal RNA is filed under the name Rasopone arhuaca. Its description in RNAcentral is "partial 28S ribosomal RNA". Lineage: Eukaryota; Metazoa; Arthropoda; Insecta; Hymenoptera; Formicidae. The record is from RNAcentral.
CAACAGACACCACCCCGGACCGUAGACCGACAACCAGCGGAUCGNGACGUUCUACUAGGAGAGAAGUGCANGACAACGCAGCCGGAUGUGCGAGCACGGCAGCGUGUCCGCGCGAUAGNCCGCGGGACAUCGCCCACCGACGCGAAGCCAGUNACGCUGACGAUGAAUCACCCCGUUGGAUCUUUUGGGUUUUUUAGGUUUCCCCCUGAACGGUUUCACGUACUCUUGAACU